Molecule: small nuclear RNA, 106 nt
Organism: Talpa occidentalis (Iberian mole)
Lineage: Eukaryota; Metazoa; Chordata; Mammalia; Eulipotyphla; Talpidae
Source: RefSeq, a predicted model, not a curated record
UUGUGCUCAGUUUUGCCACAAACAUAUUAAAAUUUGAAUGAUACAGAGAUUAGCAUGGCCCCUGCACAAGGAUGACAUGCAAAUUAAUGAAGCAUUCCAUAUUUUU